This 482-nucleotide ribosomal RNA is filed under the name uncultured bacterium. Its description in RNAcentral is "partial 16S ribosomal RNA". It matches the Rfam family "Bacterial small subunit ribosomal RNA", at positions 30 to 507 of the family's 1533-position model. The record is from RNAcentral.
AUUGAACGCUGGCGGCAUGCUUUACACAUGCAAGUCGAACGGUAACAGGCCGCAAGGUGCUGACGAGUGGCGAACGGGUGAGUAAUGCAUCGGAACGUGCCCAGUCGUGGGGGAUAACUACUCGAAAGAGUAGCUAAUACCGCAUACGAUCUAUGGAUGAAAGCGGGGGACCGUAAGGCCUCGCGCGAUUGGAGCGGCCGAUGUCAGAUUAGGUAGUUGGUGGGGUAAAGGCUCACCAAGCCAACGAUCUGUAGCUGGUCUGAGAGGACGACCAGCCACACUGGGACUGAGACACGGCCCAGACUCCUACGGGAGGCAUCAGUGGGGAAUUUUGGACAAUGGGCGCAAGCCUGAUCCAGCAAUGCCGCGUGCAGGAAGAAGGCCUUCGGGUUGUAAACUGCUUUUGUACGGAACGAAACGGCUCUGGUUAAUACCCGGGGCUAACGACGGUACCGUAAGAAUAAGCACCGGCUAACUACGUG